UAAGGAAUAUUGGUCAAUGGACGCAAGUCUGAACCAGCCAUGCCGCGUGGAGGAUGAAGGCCCUCUGGGUUGUAAACUUCUUUUAUAUGGGACGAAACCUAUCCUUUCUAGGGUAAUUGACGGUACCAUGUGAAUAAGCACCGGCUAACUCCGUGCCAGCAGCCGCGGUAAUACGGAGGGUGCAAGCGUUAUCCGGAUUCACUGGGUUUAAAGGGUGCGUAGGUGGGUUGGUAAGUCAGUGGUGAAAUCUCCGAGCUUAACUUGGAAACUGCCAUUGAUACUAUCAGUCUUGAAUACCGUGGAGGUCAGCGGAAUAUGUCAUGUAGCGGUGAAAUGCUUAGAUAUGACAUAGAACACCAAUUGCGAAGGCAGCUGGCUACACGAAUAUUGACACUGAGGCACGAAAGCGUGGGGAUCAAACA
Molecule: ribosomal RNA, 422 nt
Filed under: uncultured Terrimonas sp.
Lineage: Bacteria; Pseudomonadati; Bacteroidota; Chitinophagia; Chitinophagales; Chitinophagaceae
Description: bacterial SSU rRNA
Rfam family: Bacterial small subunit ribosomal RNA
Source: RNAcentral